GAUGAACGCUGGCGGCGUGCCUAACACAUGCAAGUCGAGCGGCAGCGAGGGGUGCUUGCACCCUGUCGGCGAGCGGCGGACGGCUGAGUAACGCGUGGGAACGUGCCCCAAAGUGAGGAAUAACUGCCCGAAAGGGUAGCUAAUACCGCAUAUUAUCUUCGGAUCAAAGGAUUUAUCCGCUUUGGGAGCGGCUCGCGUCGGAUUAGGUAGUUGGUGAGGUAAUGGCUCACCAAGCCGACGAUCCGUAGCUGGUCUGAGAGGAUGACCAGCCAGACUGGAACUGAGACACGGUCCAGACUCCUACGGGAGGCAGCAGUGAGGAAUCUUCCACAAUGGGCGAAAGCCUGAUGGAGCAACGCCGCGUGCAGGACGAAGGCCUUUGGGUUGUAAACUGCUUUUAUAAGUGAGGAAUAUGACGGUAACUUAUGAAUAAGGAUCGGCUAACUACGUG
RNAcentral lists this ribosomal RNA (451 nucleotides) under uncultured bacterium. RNAcentral's name for it is "partial 16S ribosomal RNA". It matches the Rfam family "Bacterial small subunit ribosomal RNA", at positions 28 to 507 of the family's 1533-position model. The record is from RNAcentral.